UACGUAGGCAGCAAGCGUUGUUCGGAAUUACUGGGCGUAAAGAGUGUGUAGGCGGUGCUCUAAGUUCGGUGUGAAAUCUCCCGGCUCAACUGGGAGGGUGCGCCGGAAACUGGAGUGCUUGAGCGUGGGAGAGGAAAGCGGAAUUCCUGGUGUAGCGGUGAAAUGCGUAGAUAUCAGGAGGAACACCUGUGGUGUAGACGGCUUUCUGGACCAUAGCUGACGCUGAGACACGAAAGCGUGGGUAGCAAACAGG
This 253-nucleotide ribosomal RNA is filed under the name uncultured bacterium. Its description in RNAcentral is "partial 16S ribosomal RNA". It matches the Rfam family "Bacterial small subunit ribosomal RNA", at positions 524 to 776 of the family's 1533-position model. The record is from RNAcentral.